Molecule: long non-coding RNA, 511 nt
Organism: Zea mays
Lineage: Eukaryota; Viridiplantae; Streptophyta; Magnoliopsida; Poales; Poaceae
Exons: 2
Source: RefSeq, a predicted model, not a curated record
UGGAAAUUUUCCAUUCCCCCUAGCCGCCACCAGCCCCUUCUCUUACUCUCCACGCCAUCCUCCUCUCCUCCCAUCCAUGGAGCAGCAGCCCUCCCUCCAUGGCGCCCACCCUCUCCAAUGGUGGUGCUCACCCCUCCCUCCCUCCUUCUCCAUUGCUGCAGCUCCCCUUCGUGGUGGCUGUCCCUCCCCCUACAGCCACCCCUCCUCUGCUCUCCAUGGACGCCAGCCAUGGCAGCCCCCUAUGCUGUUGCGUGAUGGCUGGAGGUGGGAGGUAGAAGAAGACUCCAUGAGGCUAUGACAGGUGAUGAAAUAGGUGAGUUCUGAUGUUUCUGUGCCAAGGUGGUUCCCAAGCAGGAGGAUGAACACUAAAACUUAUUAGGGGAGGGUGUUUUGCCUCCCGGUAAUGUAAUAAUAAGUUCCACACUCAAACACCCGGUUAUGUAAUAACUACUCUUUCUAUAUUUUUGUAUGAAUGUAAAUUAUAUUAUUGUAAUCCUUUCCGCUCAUCAUC